GAUGAACGCUGGCGGCGUGCCUAAUACAUGCAAGUCGAGCGAACGGACGAGAAGCUUGCUUUUCUGAUGUUAGCGGCGGACGGGUGAGUAACACGUGGAUAACCUACCUAUAAGACUGGGAUAACUUCGGGAAACCGGAGCUAAUACCGGAUAAUAUUUUGAACCGCAUGGUUCAAAAGUGAAAGACGGUCUUGCUGUCACUUAUAGAUGGAUCCGCGCUGCAUUAGCUAGUUGGUAAGGUAACGGCUUACCAAGGCAACGAUGCAUAGCCGACCUGAGAGUGUGAUCGGCCACACUGGAACUGAGCCUCGGUCCUGACUCCUGCGGGAGGCAGCAGUAGGGAAUCUGCCGCAAUGGGCGGAAGCCUGACGGAGCAACGCCGCGUGAGUGAUGAAGGUCUUAGGAUCGUACACCUCUGUUAUUAGAGUAGAACAUAUAUGUAAGUAACUGUGCACAUCUUGACGGUACCUAAUCAGAAAGCCACGGCUAACAUCGUG
Molecule: ribosomal RNA, 497 nt
Filed under: uncultured bacterium
Lineage: Bacteria
Description: partial 16S ribosomal RNA
Rfam family: Bacterial small subunit ribosomal RNA
Source: RNAcentral